RNAcentral lists this long non-coding RNA (1117 nucleotides) under Marmota monax (woodchuck). Lineage: Eukaryota; Metazoa; Chordata; Mammalia; Rodentia; Sciuridae. The record is from RNAcentral.
AUUUAUCUCUGAUUUAUGAGAGAUUUUUCCCUGUAUGUAUUUUUGUUUUUAUAGAGUGGAACUGAUCAGUAUUUUUCUUUUGUUAUGUCAGCUUUUUUCUUCCUAGGGAGAAACACCUUUCCAAUUUGGAGAUCAUAAAAAGAUCUUUCUUUUUUUGUUCUGAGUGAUUUUAUGGUUCCAAUUUUAAUAUUUAGGUAUUAGCAAGUUGUCUGUGUUUCGGGCACUUCUCACCCGUUUUGCAGAUUGCAUAUGUCUACCUCAAGAUGAGCAUGCCUUUAGGGUGUUAGUGUUUUCUCUUAUCUCACCUGUUCUCACUGGGGUGCGCUGGGGUGAAUGAAGGCAUUUCAAGGAGUAACACUAAAAGUGUCUAGGUGCCCACAAAGGGGACAUCUUAAAGGACCGGUGCCAGUGUUGAGAAGUGCAUGACUAGUGUAAUGAUCUAUAAUGAGUCCUUAUGCAGCUUGGUGGUUCCAAGUCUUUGCUCUCAUCAACACUGAAGGAAUACUGUUAGGUUGUCAGUGGCUAGAAAUUAAUUUUUUGUUGAUUGAUAACUGUGUUUUUUUUGUAUCUAAUUUGCAAAGAAUUAAAAGGAAAUGAAGGACAUUAAUAAACCUUUUUGCAUCUGCAUCUACUUAUAUAUAUGAACAGUUGUCUCAGCGUUUACAUUAAAAAGGGAAUAAAAUUAAUGAUAAAUCUCCCUCUCAUAAUGAAGAAUGUUCAUCCAUGUAGGUAUAAAUUAAUUUUAAAAAGUCUCAUCUAUCUUAUUAAGAAAUGUAUUUCCUGCCUAAACAUAUUUUUCAUAUUUAAAAUUACUUAUCAGAACCACAUAAAAAUAGAAAUUGAAAUGAUAACUUAAUCCAGAAGAAAUUCUUUGCCAUUUAUAUUCUAUGGCUAUUGGAACUUAAAUAAAAAUGUAUUUUCACUUAUUCAUUUUUUUGUCUUUGUUACAGGGAAUUAUGAUAGUGUGAUCAAUAAUAUACUUUCAAGCAUAAAAUUUACACUAUGAUAAAAUUCUAUGGGAGAAGUAGAAUGGAAAUAUAAGUUCAAGAAAGAAAAGGGGAAAAAAAAAGACAAGGAAUGCUGUAAGUUUUUACUGUUAAAAAGAGCUUGUUUAUGG